RNAcentral lists this long non-coding RNA (1987 nucleotides) under Equus caballus (horse). RNAcentral describes it as "lncRNA (ENSECAG00000053137.1)". The record is from RNAcentral. Lineage: Eukaryota; Metazoa; Chordata; Mammalia; Perissodactyla; Equidae.
CGGGAGCCCGGGGGUGGCACGCCUUGCAGGAGGGGGCAGCCAGGGACAGGGAGCAGCAGGAUUGCUAGCGGUGUGUUUCUGGCCGUGCAUCUCCAGACUUCUGCAUUUCUGUGGCAGCAGCCCAGCCCGAGGCUCAGGGUGAGGAGGCAUGCCUGGGCAUGUCUGGUGGGGCAGGCUGGUGAGGACGCCACUUGCAUGAAGACAGCAGGAUCCCUGGAGCCGAGACUGGACUCGGAGGCGUGGGGCCGGAGCGACCAGGGCCGGCUCGGGACAUCCAAGCUCUGCAGACCGCCGCCACCGCCGAUUCCGCAGGUGGCCACUGGGCGUCGCAGCCGCCCGCGUUGUGCGGUCUUCAUCCUGGCGGCGCAUCCUGCCUUCCGCCUUCCCCAAUCCCCAGCUGGGAGCCGGGCUCCUGGGGGCGCAGGAGAGAGGAGGCCAGGGGACGGGGCACCUUCCCGGAGCCUGGGGGCGGCUCCCGGGCUGUCGGCAGGGCUGAAUAAGGCUCAGGGUCAUUUCAAGAGAGAUGGAGGUGGGUGGUUUGGGCUGCUAGCGGGUGAUGCAGGGUAGAGUGGGGAGGGGUGGAGCAAGGAGGAGGAUUGCUCGGAUCUCUUUUUCCUUGGGGAAGCCCUCUCUGGAGUAGAAUGGGCUGGAAAAUUGCAUUUGGAGAGUGGAGGAGAAAAUAUCUCUGCACACAGAUUUGGGGAGGGGCGUGGGGGUUCCUCCACUGUUUGACAAACACACAGCGCUUACCAUGUGCCAGGCAUUUUACAAAGGUUAACUCCUUGAACCCAUGCAGCAACCCCACAACCUCAUUUACAGGUGAGGACACAGCGGCACAGCUUACCUGGUUGGUGAGUGGGUGAUGGGAUCCAACCCUGGCAGGCCGGCUGACAGGCACUUCUGCAGCCUCCCCUCAGGGCUGGAACCUUCCUCACAGGGCGGAUAGAAUGUGCUGGAGGGGAGGCAGGCCUGGGCGUGCCAACUUUGUGUACAGUUUAGCUCUGAUGCCCUCCUGCUGCAUCCAUGCAUUCAACAAAUGUUAAUGUAGGGCUUCCUGCUUGCCAGGCCUGGGGCACCUGGGGCAGGCACCUGGGCUCCAGCAGUCAGCAGAACCCGCCACAGUCCUUGUCCUUGUGGAGCUAGUGGGGGAGACGGAGAGUAGUUAAACAAUCCCACCAAGGACAUUUACUGAGAUUAGCGUUCUAGAGAAAGGAGUGCUGCUUUCCUCUUUAGCCCCACUCUUCCUCCUGGGCUCCCAUCCUCUCCCACCCCAGGCCCACUUGGCACGUCUGGGCCCUAAUGUGUCUACUAAGAUGCUAGCUCAGAACUAAGGGGCUGGAUGGUUAACUUAGUUGCAAGCCCCUUGCGACAUAGAAAGCAGAUCACGUCCGUUGUCUUCUUUGGCCUUGUCUGGAUGGGCUGGCGUGAUUCUCCUGGGGAGGCAGGCUUUUUCAAAGGGGAUGCUUCAAUCCAGAAAAGAAUCUGGGCGAGACUGGAAAACGUCUUUGGUUCCAGACUUUCUGAAUCCAGACUGUCACCUGGUUUGUAGUGUUUGCCAAUCUCUGUGGUGCCUCUGUUGGCGGAUUUCAGUAACCUGUGUGAUGUCACUGAGUGAGGACUGAGUGAGGAGAUGCACAGCCUGAGUGACCACGCUCCGGCACACCGGCGGUGGUGGUGUCUCUCUCUGGUUGUGUGAAUUGAGGCCAGUGAUUCGUAACUUCAGUUUCUUCAUCUGUAAAAUGGGCUAAUAAUCCCUCCCUCAAGUGUUGGUGUGAGGAUUUAAUGACUUACUGUUGUCCCUGCCUAUCUCACUGAACCCUUAGAACGGCCUUACUCGUUCUAAUUAUUUGGUUUCAUGCCUGUUUCUCCAAUGAACUGUGAACUUAAAAGUAGGGGUCAUGUCACAUUCGUCUCUGUAUCCCCAGUGUCCAGCACAGGGCCUGGCACAUGGUAAGUGCUCAAUAAAUGUGUCCCUUUCAACCCAAAG